This 687-nucleotide ribosomal RNA is filed under the name uncultured bacterium. Its description in RNAcentral is "bacterial SSU rRNA". It matches the Rfam family "Bacterial small subunit ribosomal RNA", at positions 143 to 848 of the family's 1533-position model. The record is from RNAcentral.
AUAACAGUUAGAAAUGACUGCUAAUACCGCAUAAGACCACAGCACCGCAUGGUGCAGGGGUAAAAACUCCGGUGGUAUGAGAUGGACCCGCGUCUGAUUAGGUAGUUGGUGGGGUAACGGCCUUCCAAGCCGACGAUCAGUAGCCGACCUAAGAGGGUGACCGGCCACAUUGGGACUGAGACACGGCCCAAACUCCUACGGGAGGCAGCAGUGGGGAAUAUUGCACAAUGGGGGAAACCCUGAUGCAGCGACGCCGCGUGAGCGAUGAAGUAUUUCGGUAUGUAAAGCUCUAUCAGCAGGGAAGAAAAUGACGGUACCUGACUAAGAAGCACCGGCUAAAUACGUGCCAGCAGCCGCGGUAAUACGUAUGGUGCAAGCGUUAUCCGGAUUUACUGGGUGUAAAGGGAGCGUAGACGGAGUGGCAAGUCUGAUGUGAAAACCCGGGGCUCAACCCCGGGACUGCAUUGGAAACUGUCAAUCUGGAGUACCGGAGAGGUAAGCGGAAUUCCUAGUGUAGCGGUGAAAUGCGUAGAUAUUAGGAGGAACACCAGUGGCGAAGGCGGCUUACUGGACGGUAACUGACGUUGAGGCUCGAAAGCGUGGGGAGCAAACAGGAUUAGAUACCCUGGUAGUCCACGCCGUAAACGAUGACUACUAGGUGUCGGGCAGCAAAGCUGUUCGGUGCCG